GGGGGCGUGGCGAAAUUGGUAGACGCACUGGAUUUAGGUUCCAGCGCCGCAAGGUGUAAGAGUUCGAGUCUCUUCGUCCCCACCA
This 85-nucleotide transfer RNA is filed under the name Acinetobacter baumannii. RNAcentral describes it as "tRNA-Leu". It matches the Rfam family "tRNA". From Rfam's summary of the family: Transfer RNA (tRNA) molecules are approximately 80 nucleotides in length. Their secondary structure includes four short double-helical elements and three loops (D, anti-codon, and T loops). Further hydrogen bonds mediate the characteristic L-shaped molecular structure. tRNAs have two regions of fundamental functional importance: the anti-codon, which is responsible for specific mRNA codon recognition, and the 3' end, to which the tRNAs corresponding amino acid is attached (by aminoacyl-tRNA synthetases). tRNAs cope with the degeneracy of the genetic code in two manners: having more than one tRNA (with a specific anti-codon) for a particular amino acid; and 'wobble' base-pairing, i.e. permitting non-standard base-pairing at the 3rd anti-codon position. Lineage: Bacteria; Pseudomonadati; Pseudomonadota; Gammaproteobacteria; Moraxellales; Moraxellaceae. The record is from RNAcentral.